Molecule: transfer RNA, 77 nt
Filed under: Nematostella vectensis (starlet sea anemone)
Lineage: Eukaryota; Metazoa; Cnidaria; Anthozoa; Actiniaria; Edwardsiidae
Rfam family: tRNA
About the family: Transfer RNA (tRNA) molecules are approximately 80 nucleotides in length. Their secondary structure includes four short double-helical elements and three loops (D, anti-codon, and T loops).
Source: Rfam by way of RNAcentral
CGAUAGCUCAGUUGGUAGAGCGGGGGACUGUAGAUUUAUAAUUGUGAUCCCUAAAUUGCUGGUUCGAAUCCGGCUCG